GGAGUAUUGCGAUGAUGAAGAAGAAAAUUGUAUGUUAUAUAAAGAUUCUGGUAAUUGUCAGUCUAAUCGAAUUUACAUGCGACUUUAUUGCAAGAAAACGUGUGGCAUGUGUAAAAAUAUAGGUAAUGCUGAAAAUGCUCGAGCAAACUGUUCGGACAACUCUCAAUAUUGUAUUAACUGGAAGAAAAAGGGUUAUUGUGAAGUCGGUAUUUACACGGCCCAUGUAAGGAAAGAAUGUGAGAAAACGUGUGGUAUAUGCACAUCCACAGAAAAGGAGACCGUUACAAAAGUUGAAUGUGUCGAUACACAGAGAUUGUGUGAUUCAUGGAAAAUCA
Patella vulgata (common limpet) is the source of this 335-nucleotide long non-coding RNA. RefSeq lists it as uncharacterized. Lineage: Eukaryota; Metazoa; Mollusca; Gastropoda; Patellidae. The transcript is spliced from 3 exons. The record is from RefSeq and is a predicted model, not a curated record.